AACGUAGGACGCAAGCGUUAUCCGGAGUUACUGGGCGUAAAGCGCGGGCAGGCGGCUCGAAACGUCUGAUGUGAAAUCUCCUCGCUCAACGGGGAGAGGCCAUUGGAAACGGUCGAGCUGGAGGGCAGUAGAGGUAGGCGGAAUUCCGGGUGGAGUGGUGAAAUGCGUAGAGAUCCGGAGGAACACCGGUGGCGAAGGCGGCGCUCUGGACCGAGACUGACGCUGAGGCGCGAAAGCGUGGGGAGCAAACAGG
This 253-nucleotide ribosomal RNA is filed under the name uncultured bacterium. Its description in RNAcentral is "partial 16S ribosomal RNA". It matches the Rfam family "Bacterial small subunit ribosomal RNA", at positions 524 to 776 of the family's 1533-position model. The record is from RNAcentral.